CCGGACAAGUCCGUUGGGAAAUCCACCCGCUUAACGGGUGGGCGUCCAGCGGAAACUGUCCGGCUUGGAGCCGGAAGACCUGAGGGGUACGUCCGGGGUAGGAGUGAAAUCCCGUAAUCCUGGACGGACCGCCGGUGGCGAAAGCGCCUCAGGAGGACGGACUCGACAGUGAGGGACGAAAGCCAGGGUCUCGAACCGGAUUAGAUACCCGGGUAGUCCUGGCCGUAAACGAUGUCCGCUAGGUGUGGCGCAGGCUACGAGCCUGCGCUGUGCCGUAGGGAAGCCGUGAAGCGGACCGCCUGGGAAGUACGUCUGCAAGGAUGAAACUUAAAGGAAUUGGCGGGGGAGCACUACAACCGGAGGAGCCUGCGGUUUAAUUGGACUCAACGCCGGACAUCUCACCAGCACCGACAGUGUGCAGUGAAGGUCAGGUUGAUGGCCUUACUGGAGCCACUGAGAGGAGGUGCAUGGCCGCCGUCAGCUCGUACCGUGAGGCGUCCUGUUAAGUCAGGCAACGAGCGAGACCCGCACUCCUAGUUGCCAGCAAUACCCUUGUGGUAGUUGGGUACACUAGGAGGACUGCCGCUGCUAAAGCGGAGGAAGGAACGGGCAACGGUAGGUCAGUAUGCCCCGAAUGUGCUGGGCAACACGCGGGCUACAAUGGCCGGGACAAUGGGAUGCCAUCUCGAGAGAGAGCGCUAAUCCCCUAAACCCGGUCGUAGUUCGGAUUGAGGGCUGAAACUC
This 744-nucleotide ribosomal RNA is filed under the name uncultured Halobacteria archaeon. RNAcentral describes it as "bacterial SSU rRNA". It matches the Rfam family "Archaeal small subunit ribosomal RNA", at positions 529 to 1269 of the family's 1478-position model. The record is from RNAcentral. Lineage: Archaea; Methanobacteriati; Methanobacteriota; Halobacteria.